RNAcentral lists this ribosomal RNA (447 nucleotides) under uncultured bacterium. RNAcentral describes it as "bacterial SSU rRNA". It matches the Rfam family "Bacterial small subunit ribosomal RNA", at positions 329 to 792 of the family's 1533-position model. The record is from RNAcentral.
GUCCAGACUCCUACGGGAGGCAGCAGUGGGGGAUAUUGCACAAUGGGGGGAACCCUGAUGCAGCGACGCCGCGUGGGUGAAGGAGUGCUUCGGCAUGUAAAGCCCUAUCGGCAGGGAAGAAGCAAGACGGUACCUGACUAAGAAGCCCCGGCUGACUACGUGCCAGCAGCCGCGGUAAUACGUAGGGGGCAAGCGUUAUCCGGAUUUACUGGGUGUAAAGGGAGCGUAGACGGCAGUGCAAGUCCGGAGUGAAAGCCCGGGGCUCAACCCUGGGACUGCUCUGGAAACUGUAAAGCUGGAGUGCGGGAGGGGCAGGCGGAAUUCCUGGUGUAGCGGUGAAAUGCGUAGAUAUCAGGAGGAACACCGGCGGCGAAGGCGGCCUGCUGGACCGUAACUGACGUUGAGGCUCGAAAGCGUGGGGAGCAAACAGGAUUAGAUACCCUAGUA